AUUGAACGCUGGCGACAGGCCUAACACAUGCAAGUCGAGCGGAGCGGCGGACGGGCGAGCAAUGCCUAGGAAUCUGCCCGGUAGUCGCGUAUAACGUCCGGAACCGGGCGCUAAUACCGCUUACUAUCAGAUGAGCCUAGGUCGGAGUAGCUAGGUGUUGGGGUAAGGGCCUACCAAGGCGACGAUCCGUAACUGGUCUGAGAGGAGGAUCAGUCACACGAGAACUGAGACACGGUCCAGACUCCUACGGUAGGCAGCAGUGGGGAAUAUUGGACAAUGGGCUAAAGCCUUAUCCAGCCAUGCCGAGUGUGUGAAGAAGGUCUUCGGAUUGUAAAGCACUGUAAGUUGGGAGGCGGUACCCGCAGAAGAAGCACCGGCUAACUCCGUGCCAGCAGCCGCGGUAAUAC
RNAcentral lists this ribosomal RNA (407 nucleotides) under uncultured bacterium. RNAcentral's name for it is "partial 16S ribosomal RNA". It matches the Rfam family "Bacterial small subunit ribosomal RNA", at positions 30 to 526 of the family's 1533-position model. The record is from RNAcentral.